UACAGAGGGGGCAAGCGUUGUUCGGAAUUACUGGGCAUAAAGGGCGCGUAGGCGGCCUGCUAAGUCGAACGUGAAAUCCCUGGGCUCAACCCAGGAACUGCGUCCGAUACUGGUUGGCUUGAAUCCGGGAGAGGGAUGUGGAAUUCCAGGUGUAGCGGUGAAAUGCGUAGAUAUCUGGAGGAACACCGGUGGCGAAGGCGGCAUUCUGGACUGUAACUGACACUGAGGCGCGAAAGCUAGGGGAGCAAACGGG
This 253-nucleotide ribosomal RNA is filed under the name uncultured bacterium. Its description in RNAcentral is "partial 16S ribosomal RNA". It matches the Rfam family "Bacterial small subunit ribosomal RNA", at positions 524 to 776 of the family's 1533-position model. The record is from RNAcentral.